UACGUAGGGGGCGAGCGUUGUCCGGAUUUAUUGGGCGUAAAGAGCGUGUAGGCGGUUCGGUAAGUCGGCUGUGAAAGUCCAGGGCUCAACCCUGGGAUGCCGGUCGAUACUGCCGGACUAGAGUUCGGAAGAGGCGAGUGGAAUUCCCGGUGUAGCGGUGAAAUGCGCAGAUAUCGGGAGGAACACCCAUGGCGAAGGCAGCUCGCUGGGACGUUACUGACGCUGAGACGCGAAAGCGUGGGGAGCAAACAGG
This 253-nucleotide ribosomal RNA is filed under the name uncultured bacterium. Its description in RNAcentral is "partial 16S ribosomal RNA". It matches the Rfam family "Bacterial small subunit ribosomal RNA", at positions 524 to 776 of the family's 1533-position model. The record is from RNAcentral.